RNAcentral lists this ribosomal RNA (1372 nucleotides) under uncultured bacterium. RNAcentral's name for it is "bacterial SSU rRNA". It matches the Rfam family "Bacterial small subunit ribosomal RNA", at positions 28 to 1381 of the family's 1533-position model. The record is from RNAcentral.
GAUGAACGCUGGCGGCGUGCCUAAUACAUGCAAGUCGAGCGAACGGACGAGAAGCUUGCUUUUCUGAUGUUAGCGGCGGACGGGUGAGUAACACGUGGAUAACCUACCUAUAAGACUGGGAUAACUUCGGGAAACCGGAGCUAAUACCGGAUAAUAUUUUGAACCGCAUGGUUCAAAAGUGAAAGACGGUCUUGCUGUCACUUAUAGGUGGAUCCGCGCUGCAUUAGCUAGUUGGUAAGGUAACGGCUUACCAAGGCAACGAUGCAUAGCCGACCUGAGAGGGUGAUCGGCCACACUGGAACUGAGACACGGUCCAGACUCCUACGGGAGGCAGCAGUAGGGAAUCUUCCGCAAUGGGCGAAAGCCUGACGGAGCAACGCCGCGUGAGUGAUGAAGGUCUUCGGAUCGUAAAACUCUGUUAUUAGGGAAGAACAUAUGUGUAAGUAACUGUGCACAUCUUGACGGUACCUAAUCAGAAAGCCACGGCUAACUACGUGCCAGCAGCCGCGGUAAUACGUAGGUGGCAAGCGUUAUCCGGAAUUAUUGGGCGUAAAGCGCGCGUAGGCGGUUUUUUAAGUCUGAUGUGAAAGCCCACGGCUCAACCGUGGAGGGUCAUUGGAAACUGGAAAACUUGAGUGCAGAAGAGGAAAGUGGAAUUCCAUGUGUAGCGGUGAAAUGCGCAGAGAUAUGGAGGAACACCAGUGGCGAAGGCGACUUUCUGGUCUGUAACUGACGCUGAUGUGCGAAAGCGUGGGGAUCAAACAGGAUUAGAUACCCUGGUAGUCCACGCCGUAAACGAUGAGUGCUAAGUGUUAGGGGGUUUCCGCCCCUUAGUGCUGCAGCUAACGCAUUAAGCACUCCGCCUGGGGAGUACGACCGCAAGGUUGAAACUCAAAGGAAUUGACGGGGACCCGCACAAGCGGUGGAGCAUGUGGUUUAAUUCGAAGCAACGCGAAGAACCUUACCAAAUCUUGACAUCCUUUGACAACUCUAGAGAUAGAGCCUUCCCCUUCGGGGGACAAAGUGACAGGUGGUGCAUGGUUGUCGUCAGCUCGUGUCGUGAGAUGUUGGGUUAAGUCCCGCAACGAGCGCAACCCUUAAGCUUAGUUGCCAUCAUUAAGUUGGGCACUCUAAGUUGACUGCCGGUGACAAACCGGAGGAAGGUGGGGAUGACGUCAAAUCAUCAUGCCCCUUAUGAUUUGGGCUACACACGUGCUACAAUGGACAAUACAAAGGGCAGCGAAACCGCGAGGUCAAGCAAAUCCCAUAAAGUUGUUCUCAGUUCGGAUUGUGGUCUGCAACUCGACUACAUGAAGCUGGAAUCGCUAGUAAUCGUAGAUCAGCAUGCUACGGUGAAUACGAUCCCGAGUCU